Molecule: long non-coding RNA, 432 nt
Filed under: Homo sapiens (human)
Lineage: Eukaryota; Metazoa; Chordata; Mammalia; Primates; Hominidae
Description: HSALNT0311424
Source: RNAcentral
UGUGCUCACUUUACAGAUGAGAAAAUGAAGGCUAGGAGGGCUCAUGUGACUUGUCCAAGGUCAGCUAGCCAGCAAGCAGUGGCACUGAGAUUUAACCCAGUCCCCUCAACUUCAAGAUCCACACUCAUCCCUUGAGACCACGGCAUCUUCACAUCUGCCACUAAGUACCUGGCAAAGUUGUUGGCUGAUUGGCUGAUUUAAAAAAGCAAAGCAGGAACCGCAGAAUCUCUCUCCCAGAUGGAAAUGGAAGUUGUUGCUCUUGACCAAAGGAGUCUGUGGAUCCUGUGUACUGUCCAGUAAGCUGUUCCUGAUAUGGAGAGCACCAUACUUUUGGCAACUUCUUUCAGGCUUGGCUACCAAAGGCUUUGCACAUCUCUCCUGGCGCUCUUAGAUGGAGAUGAGGAAACUGUCACCUCAGGAGGCAAAGUGACU